RNAcentral lists this ribosomal RNA (424 nucleotides) under Fusobacteriota bacterium. RNAcentral describes it as "Fusobacteria bacterium partial 16S ribosomal RNA". It matches the Rfam family "Bacterial small subunit ribosomal RNA", at positions 355 to 776 of the family's 1533-position model. The record is from RNAcentral. Lineage: Bacteria; Fusobacteriati; Fusobacteriota.
UGAGGAAUAUUGGUCAAUGGGCGAGAGCCUGAACCAGCCAAGUAGCGUGCAGGAUGACGGCCCUAUGGGUUGUAAACUGCUUUUAUGUGGGGAUAAAGUGCGUGACGUGUCAUGCAUUGCAGGUACCACAUGAAUGAGGACCGGCUAAUUCCGUGCCAGCAGCCGCGGUAAUACGGAAGGUCCGGGCGUUAUCCGGAUUUAUUGGGUUUAAAGGGAGCGUAGGCUGUCUAUUAAGCGUGUUGUGAAAUAUACCGGCUCAACCGGUGGCUUGCAGCGCGAACUGGUCGACUUGAGUAUGCAGGAAGUAGGCGGAAUUCAUGGUGUAGCGGUGAAAUGCUUAGAUAUCAUGACGAACUCCGAUUGCGCAGGCAGCUUACUGUAGCAUAACUGACGCUGAUGCUCGAAAGUGCGGGUAUCAAACAGG